AGAGUUUGAUCCUGGCUCAGAAUCAACGCUGGCGGCGUGCCUUAACACAUGCAAGUCGAACGAGAAAGGGACUUCGGUCCUGAGUAUAGUGGCGCACGGGUGAGUAACACGUGAAUAAUCUACCUUCGAGUGGGGAAUAACUGAGAGAAAUCUUAGCUAAUACCGCAUAAUACCUACGGGUCAAAGCAGCAAUGCGCUUGAAGAGGAGUUCGCGGCAGAUUAGCUAGUUGGCGGGGUAAUGGCCCACCAAGGCGAUGAUCUGUAUCCGGCCUGAGAGGGCGCACGGACACACUGGAACUGAAACACGGUCCAGACUCCUACGGGAGGCAGCAGUGGGGAAUUUUGCGCAAUGGGGGAAACCCUGACGCAGCAACGCCGCGUGGAGGAUGAAGUAUCUUGGUACGUAAACUCCUUUCGAUGGGGAAGAUAAUGACGGUACCCAUAGAAGAAGCCCCGGCUAACUUCGUGCCAGCAGCCGCGGUAAUACGAGGGGGGCAAGCGUUGUUCGGAUUUAUUGGGUUUAAAGGGUGCGUAGGUGGCUUGUUAAGUCAGUGGUGAAAUACAGCCGCUCAACGGUUGAGGUGCCAUUGAUACUGACAAGCUUGAAACAAGUGGAGGUUGCCGGAAUGGAUGGUGUAGCGGUGAAAUGCAUAGAUAUCAUCCAGAACACCGAUUGCGAAGGCAGGUGACUACGUUUGAUUUGACACUGAGGCACGAAAGCAUGGGGAGCAAACAGGAUUAGAUACCCUGGUAGUCCAUGCCGUAAACGAUGAGGACUCGCUGUUGGGCUGUCAAGGUUCAGCGGCUUAGGGAAACCGUUAAGUCCUCCACCUGGGGAGUACGCCGGCAACGGUGAAACUCAAAAGAAUUGACGG
RNAcentral lists this ribosomal RNA (875 nucleotides) under uncultured bacterium. RNAcentral describes it as "bacterial SSU rRNA". It matches the Rfam family "Bacterial small subunit ribosomal RNA", at positions 8 to 916 of the family's 1533-position model. The record is from RNAcentral.